Molecule: ribosomal RNA, 460 nt
Filed under: Vibrio sp. PASRS92
Lineage: Bacteria; Pseudomonadati; Pseudomonadota; Gammaproteobacteria; Vibrionales; Vibrionaceae
Description: bacterial SSU rRNA
Rfam family: Bacterial small subunit ribosomal RNA
Source: RNAcentral
GAUUGAACGCUGGCGGCAGGCCUAAGUGUUGCAAGUCGAGCGGAAACGAGUUAUCUGAACCUUCGGGGAACGAUAACGGCGUCGAGCGGCGGACGGGUGAGUAAUGCCUAGGAAAUUGCCCUGAUGUGGAGGAUAACCAUUGGAAACGAUGGCUAAUACCGCAACGCGCCUACGGGCCAAAGAGGGGGACCUUCGGGCCUCUCGCGUCAGGAUAUGCCUAGGUGGGAUUAGCUAGUUGGUGAGGUAAGGGCUCACCAAGGCGACGAUCCCUAGCUGGUCUGAUGAGGAUGAUCAGCCACACUGGAACUGAGACACGGUCCAGACUCCUACGGGAGGCAGCAGUGGGGAAUAUUGCACAAUGGGCGCAAGCCUGAUGCAGCCAUGCCGCGUGUGUGAAGAGCUAGCUCGGGUUGUAAAGCACUUUCAGUCGUGAGGAAGGUAGUGUAGUUAAUAGCUGCAU